Molecule: ribosomal RNA, 121 nt
Filed under: Neotermes castaneus (southern dampwood termite)
Lineage: Eukaryota; Metazoa; Arthropoda; Insecta; Blattodea; Kalotermitidae
Source: RNAcentral
AACGGCCAUACCAUGUUUAAAAUACCGGUUCUCGUCCGAUCACCGAAGUUACGAAGUUAGGCAACAUUGGGCAUGGUUAGUACUUGGAUGGGUGACCGCUUGGAAACACCACGUGCUGUUG